This 200-nucleotide ribosomal RNA is filed under the name uncultured bacterium. RNAcentral's name for it is "partial 16S ribosomal RNA". It matches the Rfam family "Bacterial small subunit ribosomal RNA", at positions 28 to 236 of the family's 1533-position model. The record is from RNAcentral.
GAUGAACGUUGGCGGCGUGCCUAACACAUGCAAGUCGAACGAUAGUAGCAAUACUAUAGUGGCGCACGGGUGAGUAACACGUAGCUUACCUCCCUCUCAGCGCGGGAUAACGGCUCGAAAGAGCUGCUAAUACCGCAUAAGCUCACGGGUUCUAGAGACUUGUGAGAAAAGGCUUCGGUCACUGAGAGACGGGGCUGCGG